AAAGUAAAGGCUUUAUGCCAUUGUAAUUUAGGGCAGUUGGAACUCAUUGAAGAGGGCAGGAGGAACAGGACGGGGAGUAGUGAGGAGAUGGGAGAAGAAACAGAGACAGGGGAAGAGACAGAGACAAGCAAGGAGACAGGGACAGGAGAAUAGACUGGGACUGCGACAGAGAGAGACAAGGGAAAAAAUUUAAAAAAAAGCGAAGACAACACAAAGGAGGAGGGUAGGGUAAAGGUGGAAAACAUGGAAGAGGAGGGAUGGGCGGAAGCCAAGGAGGUAGAGGGGGAGGCCAAGGAGGAACAGGAAGAGCCCCUCGUCCAACAGAUUCAUCAUCAAGUGCUAAAACUAUCAAUUUUUUUAAUGU
Amphimedon queenslandica is the source of this 364-nucleotide long non-coding RNA. RefSeq lists it as uncharacterized. The transcript is spliced from 3 exons. The record is from RefSeq and is a predicted model, not a curated record. NCBI's taxonomy places the organism in Eukaryota, Metazoa, Porifera, Demospongiae, Haplosclerida, Niphatidae.